GGGAAUUUUCCGCAAUGGGCGAAAGCCUGACGGAGCAAUACCGCGUGAGGGAAGAAAGCCUACUGGGUUGUAAACCUCUUUUUUCAGGGGGGAAAAAAAUGACGUGUACCUGAAGAAUAAGCAUCGGCUAACUCCGUGCCAGCAGCCGCGGUAAGACGGAGGAUGCAAGUGUUAUCCGGAAUUACUGGGCGUAAAGCGUCUGUAGGUGGUUUAAUAAGUCAACUGUUAAAUCUUGAGGCUUAACUUCAAAACAGCAGUCGAAACUAUUAGACUAGAGUAUAGUAGGGGUAAAGGGAAUUUCCAGUGGAGCGGUGAUUUGCGUAGAUAUUGGAAAGACCACCGAUGGCGAAAGCACUUUACUGGGCUAUUACUAACACUCAGAGACGA
Molecule: ribosomal RNA, 387 nt
Filed under: uncultured cyanobacterium
Lineage: Bacteria; Bacillati; Cyanobacteriota
Description: bacterial SSU rRNA
Rfam family: Bacterial small subunit ribosomal RNA
Source: RNAcentral